This 871-nucleotide small RNA is filed under the name Drosophila pseudoobscura pseudoobscura. RNAcentral describes it as "GA32416". The record is from RNAcentral. Lineage: Eukaryota; Metazoa; Arthropoda; Insecta; Diptera; Drosophilidae.
UUUAACAGUUUCGGGAGAAUUGUGAAACGAGUCAGUCACUAUUGAAAAUAGAAAAAAGUGGAAGCCGCCGUGAUGCCGAGAAAGAAAAAAACCCGACCAGCCGCUAAGAAGACCCCAAAACCGACAGGGUCGGCCAACGAUGUUGAAGAUUGUGUAAUUUGUGUUCUGGAGAUUUUAAAUCCUUUCAAACUGCCCUGCGGGCACUCCUUUUGUACGGAAUGUCUCGAAUUUUCGGUCAAUUCGAGAGCUGAAAAUGAAGGUCCAACCAUCUCGGUUAGAGCUGAAAAUGAAACUCGAAGCACCUGUCCAUUGUGCCGUGCUAUAUUUCGCACCGGUCCUCUGCUCCUCUACGCUAAAAGUCAAACAAAACACGACUCCUAAUACAUACACAAUACGGACUCUUAAGCGUCAAAACAGAUUUUCACCACACUCCGCCUCAUUUUGACGUUGAGCAACACUUUUUAUAUUCAACAUUUUGUAGCUUCGAGAAAAUUCUCAGAACAGCUGGCAAGAAAAUAGUUAGUUUUGCCGUAAUCUACUAAAAAAUAUGGCGACUAAUAAGAAGGACAAGCCAGCUGAAGCUGAGGAAGAAACUAAGACGGGCAGCGCUGAAGACGUUUGCCCCAUUUGCUGUGGUCCGAAAGUGGUUCCCUUGGCAUUGCCCUGCAAGCACACGUUCUGUAAGACUUGCAUAAAAUAUCUGGUUAAACAGAGGUCUUACUAUUUGGGUCAAAUUUUUCCUGGUCCAGUCAUGCGUUGUCCAGUGUGCCGCGAAAUGUUUUGCUCAAAAAAAUCUGUUGCCACUUCCCUCCAGCCAUAGUUCUGAGCAUAUAAACACAUACAAAGUACAUAUGGCUUUCCCGGUUCCCUU